GACAGAGGGUGCAAACGUUGCUCGGAAUUACUGGGCGUAAAGCGCGUGUAGGCGGACCACCAAGUCGGACGUGAAAGCCCUGAGCUCAACUCAGGAACUGCAUCCGAAACUGGCGGUCUGGAGUAGUGGAGAGGAAAGCAGAAUUCCUGGUGUAGAGGUGAAAUUCGUAGAUAUCAGGAGGAACACCGGUGGCGAAGGCGGCUUUCUGGACACUUACUGACGCUGAGACACGAAAGCGUGGGGAGCAAACAGG
RNAcentral lists this ribosomal RNA (253 nucleotides) under uncultured bacterium. RNAcentral describes it as "partial 16S ribosomal RNA". It matches the Rfam family "Bacterial small subunit ribosomal RNA", at positions 524 to 776 of the family's 1533-position model. The record is from RNAcentral.